This 398-nucleotide ribosomal RNA is filed under the name uncultured bacterium. Its description in RNAcentral is "bacterial SSU rRNA". It matches the Rfam family "Bacterial small subunit ribosomal RNA", at positions 362 to 776 of the family's 1533-position model. The record is from RNAcentral.
UAUUGCACAAUGGGGGAAACCCUGAUGCGGCGACGCCGCGUGAGCGAUGAAGUAUUUCGGUAUGUAAAGCUCUAUCAGCAGGGAAGAAAAUGACGGUACCUGACUAAGAAGCCCCGUCUAACUACGUGCCAGCAGCCGCGGUAAUACGUAGGGGGGCAAGCGUUAUCCGGAUUUACUGGGUGUAAAGGGAGCGUAGACGGCUGUGCAAGCCAGAUGUGAAAGCCCGGGGCUCAACCCCGGGACUGCAUUUGGAACUGUAUGGCUGGAGUGUCUGAGAGGCAGGCGGAAUUCCUAGUGUAGCGGUGAAAUGCGUAGAUAUUAGGAGGAACACCAGUGGCGAAGGCGGCCUGCUGGACGAUGACUGACGUUGAGGCUCGAAAGCGUGGGGAGCAAACAGG